Molecule: ribosomal RNA, 468 nt
Filed under: uncultured bacterium
Lineage: Bacteria
Description: partial 16S ribosomal RNA
Rfam family: Bacterial small subunit ribosomal RNA
Source: RNAcentral
GACGAACGCUGGCGGCGUGCUUAACACAUGCAAGUCGAACGGAAAGGCCCUGCCUUUGUGGGGUGCUCGAGUGGCGAACGGGUGAGUAACACGUGAGUAACCUGCCCUUGACUUUGGGAUAACUUCAGGAAACUGGGGCUAAUACCGGAUAGGAGCUCCUGCUGCAUGGUGGGGGUUGGAAAGUUUCGGCGGUUGGGGAUGGACUCGCGGCUUAUCAGCUUGUUGGUGGGGUAGUGGCCUACCAAGGCUUUGACGGGUAGCCGGCCUGAGAGGGUGACCGGCCACAUUGGGACUGAGAUACGGCCCAGACUCCUACGGGAGGCAGCAGUGGGGAAUAUUGCACAAUGGGCGGAAGCCUGAUGCAGCAACGCCGCGUGCGGGAUGACGGCCUUCGGGUUGUAAACCGCUUUCGCCUGUGACGAAGCGUGAGUGACGGUAAUGGGUAAAGAAGCACCGGCUAACUACGUG